Molecule: long non-coding RNA, 3772 nt
Filed under: Nicotiana benthamiana
Lineage: Eukaryota; Viridiplantae; Streptophyta; Magnoliopsida; Solanales; Solanaceae
Description: long non-coding RNA (NBEN_LNC039317)
Source: RNAcentral
GAAUCACAUAUGUUUGUACCCUUGAAUACAACAACAACAACAACCCGGUAUAAUCCCACAUAGUGGGGUCUGGGGAAGGUAGAAUGUACGCAGACCUUAACUCUACCCUUGGGUAGAGAGGCUGUUUCCGAAUACACCAUCGGCAUCCUUCCCUCCAAGAACUUCCCACCUUGCUCUUGGGGAGACUCGAACUCACAACCUCUCGGUUGGAAGUGGAGGUUGCUUACCAUCAGAGCAACCCCUCUUAUCAUGUUUGUACCCUUGAAUGAUACCAUCAUAUUAUAUUCAUUGUCGUACUGCUUCUCAUGGAGUAUUAUUACAUCUUAUUUGGGUUCAAGAUUGAAUGAUAGAUUGUAGACCCUUGCUUUCAUUUAUGAAAAAGUGAGUUCUGUUUCCUUUGACCUGAAAAGUUUUCACUACUUGGUCACUCAAGGUUUCUAGAGCUGAAUCUUUUUCGCUAGUUGUCUCCUACACUUUUGAGAAUAUAUAACAGUAGCCUGCAAUUUCUUUUUCUUUAUUCCGUGAUUUUUAUUACUUCAACUUUGUGAUACAAAUUGUAUAUCUGUCGAUAGUUCUAUCCCCCCCCCCCCCCCCCNNNNNNNNNNNNNNNNNNNNNNNNNNNNNNNNNNNNNNNNNNNNNNNNNNNNNNNNNNNNNNNNNNNNNNNNNNNNNNNNNNNNNNNNNCGAUUCGGUUGUAAUGUUUGCUUUUCACAGGAAAGAGUAAUAUAUUCCUUAACUGGAAAACAAGGCACCAGAUAAUUUUAGGGAUCGCAAGAGGGUUACAGUAUCUUCAUGAGGAUUCACACAUUAGAAUUGUCCAUAGGGACAUCAAAGCCAGCAAUAUUCUGCUGGAUGACAAAUUCCAACCAAGAAUUGGAGAUUUUGGCCUAGCCAGAUUUUUCCCUGAAGAUCAAGCAUAUCUCAGCACUGCAUUUGCUGGAACCUUGUACGUGUUUUCUCGCUUCAGUAGUCUAUUAUGCUAACUCAAAAUAACACCUUUAACAUAGAAGCUAUUUGGAAAAAAGUAUUUUGUCUAGCAUCAGUAGUCUAUUAUGCUAACUCAAAAUAACACCUUUAACAUAGAAGCUAUUUGGAAAAAAGUAUUUUUUGGGUGUGUUUGAUACGACUAAGGAACUUUCAUGAUUAAUCAUUUCCCAUUGCGUGGUUUUAUAUUGUUAGAUAUGUUCUCCUCAGAAAUUUUUUAACAAGGACCUCAAUUCUUACAGCCUACCACUUUUUUCCUACCAAUAUGUAAGCAAUAUUAUCAGAAUUUGCUACUUACAACUAUUACCAACACUCUUCCAAUAUUCCCCAUCACCACCCUCUUGUCUUCUCUGCUACCAUAUGCGGCCUACAAUGCCCAUCUAAAUACCAAAACAACUACCCAGUAUAGUCCCACAAAGUGGGGUCUGGGGAGGGUAAUAUGUAGACGAGCAUUACCCCUACCGAAAGAGCAGAGAGGCUGUUUCCAAUGCCCAUCUAAAUACCAUGAAAAUGACUUAAUGAGUAGUUUCCCUGAGUAAAACAUAUUAUUUUCGCUGGAAUUUGUCAAUGACAGUAGCUCUAAGAAGGAAAUGAUGUUGUGCUUUGCAAUAGUAUUGGUCAGGUGUUUAAGUCACAGGCUGAAGGAUUUACAAUGUUCAUAAUAAUUGCAAUUUACGUUGUCAUUUCUCUCUCUAUAUAUAUAUAUAGACAAGAGGGGUUGCUCUGAUGUAAGCAACCCCCACUUCCAACCGAGAGGUUGUGAGUUCGAGUCUCCCCAAGAGCAAAGUGGGAAGUUCUUGGAGGGAAGGAUGUCGGGGGNNNNNNNNNNNNCCCACUUCCAACCGAGAGGUUGUGAGUUCGAGUCUCCCCAAGAGCAAGGUGGGAAGUUCUUGGAGGGAAGGAUGCCGCGGGUCUAUUUGGAAACAGCCUUUCUACCCAAGGGUAGGGGUAAGGUCUCCGUACAUACUACCCUCUUCGGAGAAUUGAAUUUAGCAGUUCCAGCUAUAAGUUUGAUAUUAUUAUACAUGAAGAAUGGAGAAUUUAUUUUGAGAAAUAUUCUGACAAGGUUAUGAAUGUUGCUAUAUACUAUAUUGUCCAGAAAAUGGUACUUUUCAUUUCAUGAACACUUUAAGCUUUAAUUUAUAGAUAUCCAUCAACAAUUUUUAUUUUAAGAAUUGGGUGAUUUUAUGUAAUUUUUGGUAUUUUGUCUGUGCAGAGGUUAUACAGCUCCUGAAUAUGCCAUUAGAGGAGAACUGACUGAAAAGGCUGAUAUAUACAGUUUUGGUGUUCUUGUGCUAGAAAUUAUCAGUUGCCGGAAGAAUACAGAUCUUUCUUUGCCUUCAGAAAUGCAAUAUCUCCCCGAAUAUGUAGGCUGUCUAAAUUUAACUUACGUUUCGUUAUCUCUUGACGAAACAAAAAAGGUUGUGUGUUUGACAUUGAUCGUUCAAGUGCAGGCAUGGAAGCUAUACGAAAGGUCAAGAUUGAUUGAUCUAGUUGAUCCCAAGAUGCGGGAAGAUGGAAUUGUGGAAAAGGAUGUCAUGCAAACAAUAUAUGUGGCUUUCUUAUGUCUUCAGCCAGAUGCAAAUUUAAGACCACCAAUGUCUGAGAUUGUUGCAAUGUUGAUACGCGAUGUUGCAGUAGUUGAAACACCAAUUAGGCCAGCUUUCUUAGAUCGAAAGAGAAGGAACGACAAGAAGCUUUCUUGGGAUAUUAUAACAGAUGGUUUCUCUUCUCCUCUGCAGAGUGAUUCACCUUCAAAGUAAGGGUGCUGUACGUCUUCCACUGGAAGCUAAAUCAUUGAAUAUGGUUGAUCCUGAUUCUUUUUAUCUUUUGUGUGUUGUCAAUAGUAUUUGUACAUAUAUAUGUAGAAAAGAAUACAGCCAAGGUUGCUUUUUCUAAUUUCUGCAGGGAUGAGGAAUUAUAGCUCGAGUGUAUUAGUUAACAUGAUUGCAAAGUGUUUUUGGUGAUUGAAACUGCAUCGUGAAUGUUAUUUCUUGAUGAAGAAGGUUCACUUUGUUUCAGAAGAAUAAGAACAAGGAAAGGAAUAACGUCUAGUUAAAAUAAGGAGAGAAAGGGAAAAGGAAUAUCAUUUUUCUAUUUUUGGUUCAAUCAAAAUAGUAAAAGGAAAGGAAUAAGAUGUCAUUUUACAGAAAUGAUAUUGUUUGGCGGCCUAUUGCCGGGCGUAGUUAUAAUUUAGCUAAUUACAUUUUGUAGCUAUUAAUUGUUUGCAAUGGGAUGUAUGUCGUGGUAUUCAAUUCAGUUGCAUAUAUUGUAUUAAAUUUAGAUAUAUUCGUUCUUAUAUAUUUUACAUUGUAUUCAUGUUUAUUGUGUUGAAUUCAGUUGUAUUUAAACAACAAAAAAUCAAGAAAUAUGGUGUAUGUCGCUCUAUUCAAUUCGGUUGUAUAUAGUGGAGAACAAAGUUCACCAGAGAUGGCGCCUUUUGGCCAAGCCAAAUACUAUAUAUAUUGUAUUAAAAUUAAAAAUGGAGACGAACAAAAAUCCGGCCAGAUUGAGAAUACAAUAUCACAUUGUAUCUACCAAAAUCUGGUCAGACGAAUACACUCAGAUGUGAGAUAGAAAGAAGGAGAAGAACCCAUGAUUUCCGACAUUACCUUUAGCUCCAGAUCUAGUGACGCCCCCGAUCUUCCCCUCCACUGUAUUUGCCAUCGAUAAUGAACUCAUUGCGACUUUGUGAUUUUCAUGUCUGAAUUUGAGGGUGGAGAUGAAAGAAGGGAGCGAGAGACGGUUGGAUCUGACGGCGGAGAUGAUAGAGAAGGGGGGGGGNNNN